This 253-nucleotide ribosomal RNA is filed under the name uncultured bacterium. RNAcentral describes it as "partial 16S ribosomal RNA". It matches the Rfam family "Bacterial small subunit ribosomal RNA", at positions 524 to 776 of the family's 1533-position model. The record is from RNAcentral.
UACGGGGGGGGCAAGCGUUGUUCGGAAUUACUGGGCGUAAAGGGCGCGUAGGCGGCCUUCUAAGUCGAACGUGAAAUCCCUGGGCUCAACCCAGGAACUGCGUCCGAUACUGGAAGGCUUGAAUCCGGGAGAGGGAUGCGGAAUUCCAGGUGUAGCGGUGAAAUGCGUAGAUAUCUGGAAGAACACCGGUGGCGAAGGCGGCAUCCUGGACCGGUAUUGACGCUGAGGCGCGAAAGCCAGGGGAGCAAACGGG